RNAcentral lists this ribosomal RNA (774 nucleotides) under uncultured Neocallimastigales. RNAcentral's name for it is "partial large subunit ribosomal RNA". It matches the Rfam family "Eukaryotic large subunit ribosomal RNA", at positions 24 to 616 of the family's 3401-position model. The record is from RNAcentral. Lineage: Eukaryota; Fungi; Neocallimastigomycota; Neocallimastigomycetes; Neocallimastigales.
UACGACUACAUAUCAGGCAUAUCAAUAAGCGGAGGAAAAGAAACUAACAAGGAUUCCCCUAGUAACGGCGAGUGAAGCGGGAAGAGCUCAAAUUUGAAAUCUUCAAGGUUUGACCUUGACGAAUUGUAGUUUAAAGAAGUGUUUUCGGUUAGAGGAGUAGUAAAAGUUCUUUGGAAUAGGACAUCAUAGAGGGUGAGAAUCCCGUAUUUGACUAUUCUUUCUAGCUUUGUGAUACACUUUCAAAGAGUCGGAUUGUUUGGGAAUGCAGUCCAAAAUGGGUGGUAAAUUUCAUCUAAAGCUAAAUAUUGGCGAGAGACUGAUAGCGAACAAGUACCGUGAGGGAAAGAUGAAAAGAACUUUGAAAAGAGAGUUAAACAGUACGUGAAAUUGUCAAAAGGGAAGCGUUUGACACCAGUGUUGUUUUCUCGAAAAUCAAUUAAAAAAGGCAGGAUUUCGUAUUGUAUUGACUUUAUCAGCUUUCUGCACUCUUUUCUUGUCUUUUUUAAUGCACUUUUCGUUUAACAAGUCAACAUCAAUUUCUUUUGUUGUAAAAGGGUCAUUGGAAGGUGGCUUUCUUUUCGGAGAAAGUGUUUAUAGCCUUUGAUCUCUGCAAUCGGAGAGACUGAGGUCUGCAGCGUAGAUCCUUCGGGGUUAGAUACAUUUGUGCUAAGUUAUAGCCUUUCAUAGACAACUUGUUGACUAUGAUCAGUCAUGUAGCUUACUCGCUUAUGCUAUUUUACCUACGCUUAGGAUGUUGAGCGCAUGUCUCUCUCU